This 492-nucleotide ribosomal RNA is filed under the name uncultured bacterium. Its description in RNAcentral is "partial 16S ribosomal RNA". It matches the Rfam family "Bacterial small subunit ribosomal RNA", at positions 29 to 507 of the family's 1533-position model. The record is from RNAcentral.
AGUUAACGCUGGCGGUAGGCCUAACACAUGCAGGUCGAACGGCAGCACAGUAAGAGCUUGCUCUUACGGGUGGCGAGUGGCGGACGGGUGAGGAAUACAUCGGAAUCUACUUUUUCGUGGGGGAUAACGUAGGGAAACUUACGCUAAUACCGCAUACGACCUACGGGUGAAAGCAGGGGAUCUUCGGACCUUGCGCGAUUGAAUGAGCCGAUGUCGGAUUAGCUAGUUGGCGGGGUAAAGGCCCACCAAGGCGACGAUCCGUAGCUGGUCUGAGAGGAUGAUCAGCCACACUGGAACUGAGACACGGUCCAGACUCCUACGGGAGGCAGCAGUGGGGAAUAUUGGACAAUGGGCGCAAGCCUGAUCCAGCCAUACCGCGUGGGUGAAGAAGGCCUUCGGGUUGUAAAGCCCUUUUGUUGGGAAAGAAAAGCAGCAGGUUAAUACCCCGCUGUUCUGACGGUACCCAAAGAAUAAGCACCGGCUAACUUCGUG